UCUUUCUCUCUCCAAACCCUACCCCGCACCCGCCUCCCUGCCUUGCCGCCGCCGCCGCCGCUCGCCCGGGCACCCAUCCCCAGCCUCACGCCGCCCAUCUAGAGAGAUGGGGGCCGCGCGCGACGAGGCCGGCGUGCCGUCGUCUCGCGGCGGCUGAGCCGCCGGAGGGGAAGAAGAGGAAGCGGAAGGCCGCCAGCGCGCUGGUGGUGUCCGAGAAGAAGAGCAGGAAGCUGCCCUUCACCCCCAGCAAGGACCCCGUCCGGCGCCUCACGCAGAUGGCCUCGCUCGCCACGGUGCUCACGGCCACCAGCGCCGUCUUCAGAACUCAAAUCCUUCAGCUCCGAGGACGCAGCGGCGCAUCUGCAAAGGUAUGGGCCCAACAAGCUAGAGCGGUCCGAGCGUCCAAUCUCAACCAUCACCCAGAACCCUAGCCCCUCCCCCCUCCCCAUGGAGCAGGAUGACCUCCAAGAGGAGCGUCUGAUGCGGAGGCCAUGGAGUAGCUGCUUGGUUCAAGGGCAUGCCUUGGCUGCUCCCUAUGUUGAGCACUUUGACGGGCCAGAUUCAGCGCUGGGAUGACUUGUGGCUGCCUUCUACUCCCCCUCCUCUCUCUCUACACCACUCAAAUCUGAGUUGGAUUCACCUUGCAACUAUACAGGUACAUGAUUGUGAUAUAAUAUUGCACGGAAGAAAAGCCACCGUUGCUUUUACAGCUUUAGGAGGUCAUGCAAGAUCGAUUUGCACUGUUCUCAUGUAUGAUCUUCAUAUUAUUCUAUUCUGAAGUAUUGGUCUAUUAUCAAGGAAGCUUUGGGCGGAGGAGUUGAGUGCAGUUUUUAUAUCUUUCUUCAAAGUCAUAAAUGGAAAGGAUUGCUGUCAGGAUGAGUGUGCAUAGGAACGUUCUCUGUUGAAGCAUCGCUUUCUUCGCCGAGAAGCUCUCUAACGGCGACAAUGGCCAUGGUGGCUCUCUGGUGCCAUGCAUGGAGAUCCAUGAUUGCGACGGUGCAGAGAUCUAUGUGAAGACCGUCGGGCUGAUGUACUGCAACGAGGCAAAGCAGAAGCUGCUCAAGCAGCUUGUGUCACGAGUGCUUCGCGUCAUGAAGAUACUGCCGAGGGAGCGGCUGAUGGAGGCGGUCUGCAAAUGGCAUGCAAGUCAAGGAGGUCCAUCGCAAGCGGCCGAUGAUGGGCUCACCGUGGAUGAGAUCUCCGGUGGAAAGAUGCAUCCAGGCCCGGCCGCCUCUCCACCAUGACGUGCCAGCCAGUUCUCUCUUGCCCCUCCUUCUACACCGGAUCGCUGUCUCACCCACCAGUAAGGCUCUCUCCACUCCCUGAUCUCUAUUCUUUCCAUCGUCUUAGCUUACAGGGCCUGGUUUGGUACUGGCCAGGAGGUGGCGAGGUACUAGAUCCGCUAUCAUCAUAGUUCCAAUUGUAAAACAGAAUACAUCCAGAGCUGACCGAGAUAGACCAGCAACCAUUACCAUCGACAAUGCCUUUUCAGGUUUUCCCUUGUAUUAAACUGCAGGUUACGCUCGCUAUUGGUUCGGUGUCCAAACAGUUUCAAGUCAGAUUUAGUAGUAUAAUUAGGUGACAGAAGAAAUUAGACAAAGGCCGGUUUGAUCCAUACACAUAUGGACUGACAACGACAACCAAAUCUCUAGAUAGGAAAAAAUAGCUAAACAUGGUUAUAAAGUUUUGGCUGUUUUUGGACUGAAGAAAUAUGACGUCUGCUGUAGCUCUAAAUGCUUACUGUUCUCUUUCCUUGGCAAUGUUUGUGCCUUCUGAGAAUAGGUCUAUUGUCAAGUGAUAUCAUGCAACAUGGAUUUAGAACGAAGAGUAAGAUAUGUUUCCCUACAACGACUACUGGAUCGAUAGUACGAAAUAAAUAGCUUGAAUGGAUUUAGUAUGAAGAACAAAAUAAGAUAUGGAAAUUCUAAAGCUACCCUUCUUGUGGAUCGAUUGAUAAAUCCAUGUAGCAUUUUGAUAAAGAGUUAAAUCUGUGAGUACUCUAAAUCUGUAUACGUUGUUUGAGUGCCGUUUAAUUAAGAUACUAGACUAUGUUGGUACACAUAUAUUUGGAUGCUUGUGAUUGGCUGGAAAGAACAGAAACUUAGAUUUGUUGUUGGACUGAACUGACUAGUCAUAGCCUUCUGGCUGAUGCUUCAGUAUACCAAAACACUUGCUAUUUUUCAUGUUCUUGUACCAGAUGGGUUUUGGACACAAACAAUUAUUUGUUUUAUCUACGAAAACUUUUUCUUCAAUAUUACAGUAUGUUGAAUGCCUUUCGUGCUUAGUUGAAAUAUAAGUACUGCUUGUAUGUGAUUUCAAUCCAGCUUGACCAAUUUUCUUUGCUCUGCUUUUUCCCUCCCUCUCCACUGAAUAUGAGCAUGUUCAAAAUAAAAUGUGCAUUACCACUUAUGAGAGUAACUAAUAUUUCAUUUUUGUUGGGACUGUUCUUUCUAGGUGUGUAUUCCUUCUCUGAAUGUUUAUUACCAUGGAACUCGAGUAUCCAGUCUGUACAGCUGUAUACCUCAUUUUAAGAAAAAAAAAACUUGAGUGUCCAUCAUACAUGAAUGAGUACAUCUAUAAAGUAAAUUGACCACAAUGAGACAUCAGUUUUGUUUACCUUUGAAUAUAAUGAGCACAUGUUGAAGGUUUGCUCAUCCCACUUCUCUAUAGCCCGUAUGAGCUUUAGUCGGAGCACUGUGUGUCGAUGAUACAUAUAUUUUCAACUACCUAAGGUCACUUAGUUCUGUGUAAAGUAGAUUGCACUUGGUACAAUUGUUGAUGGAUUGACUUGCUUUCAUUUUUGGAGCCUUAAGCACCUAAUUUAGUUUUGAGUUCUACUCCUCUCAUUUAGACUGCAGGGUAAAUCAUUGCAUUGGAAACUACAAGUGAAAUGGAAGGUAAGAAUCUCAUUUUGGCAUCCACUAUGGAUACAUGUGGAGAUAGAGAAAGGUAGAUUGAUCAAAAGACUUGCAAAAAUCAAAGAGGAGUAGGGAGAGAUCAAUGAGGUAAGAAUCUCAUUUUGGCAUCCACUAUGGAUACAUUACUUCUUGAUCACAUCGUUCUGACCGGCACCCCCGCGUCAAGGCGCGAUCCCGAUCUAUAUCAUGGAAAAUAUUUCCUGGAAUGCCUCUAGGUACCUCCAUCUCUGCUCCCUCCCUACCCUCUCCAUUCUAUCCCCAUAUAUAUAUAAAGGUUCCAAGUGUAGUAAUCUGGCGUGACACGUACAUAAUCAGAGGAUGGGUCUAGGUUUAAUGCUCUAUUUUCUACUCACAACCAGUAGAUGAGAAACCAUGUAGAAGAUGUGGCAUUGAUUUAGUAGAUUUAAAGAUCAAGUUCUUUCUGGAAUUUUAAUUUGAGGAUUAACGCGGUUGAGUUGGUUAAUUAUCGUACUUGCAUCUCGCCUCCAUGCACAUAAUUUUAAUGGGGUUAGUAUGCUUUGUACAGACCCAAGAACAAUUCCUUAUAACGCUCACCAUUUGUGCACUUCGUUUGGUCUUGGACAAAGGGUAUGUGGAAGACUGGAUUUGAUAUUAUCCUGAAAUGGCAACUAUUGGCGUGCAACUGAAGAAUAUAUUUUAUGACUGAGAGAUGGUAUUUGGAGAAUCUUAAUUUUGAUAUGUACAUGAAUCUUCUUUUAUUUUGUUGCGCAACUGAAGAUAUGGGACUAUUUGCUCUGUGUAUCUCUUAUAAAUAAGGAAAUGGACUAUAGGUAAAGAAAUUUAUUUUAAUUAUAUUAUGUUGUAGAUGAUGCAUGGUUUCUGAAUCUUUUUGCUUUGUACUGAACUUGAUGCAAACCAGUUGUCUUAUCUGGCACUGCCAAUCUGGCUUUCUGAAACAAAUUUUGUGAUGUGCUUGCAAAAUUAAUUACCCUAUUGACUUAGUAUCCUCAGCUUACCAUGUUUUUAGUAUAUAUCUCUACUGUUUGUGAUUAGUCCUAAAAGAGUGUUGUAAUUUUCUUUGAAUGUACAAGAUUUAUACACGAGUGUUGUAAUUUUCUCUGGAUGUACAAGAUUUAUACACACUGGGUCACGACGCUUGGAUGGGCAACACGCGCCAAGGCGCGCUUCCGUGGUCGUAUGAACGCACUGAGCUUGAUUCUGUAUAAGUGCAAAUACUAUACUGGUUUCCUACUAACAUAGUAUUACGUGCUUCGGCAAAACGCUUUGACCGGCACCCUCGCGCCAGGGCGCGAUCCUGAUCUAGUUUAAAUCAAAGCUUGUGCAUAUGCCAAAGCACCAUUCACAACAUGACACGAUGACCAAAUGAUGACAAAUCUAGAUGGAAAACACAAAGCUGGUAGUAGCAUUCGAAUUCUAACACGCAAGACAUGAGAAAAUAUAGGCAAUAUUUUGCGAAUGUCAGCUAGGAAGCAGAGAAGCAGAUCUCGAGUCUGAGUAUAAUUUCUCAAAAUAUGUUAGUACUGCAGGGUUUCAGAUUUCGAUUCAGACUGACACAUGUUUAAUCGAUAAGAAUCCAAUUUGAUAUAUUUUUCUAUUUCUUUUCUUUCGGCAGCUCAUUUCCUAUAACCAAUCCAACCAAAUCUUGCCCAAUUGGACAAUGAUAUGAGAAGUUUUUUUUUGAAAAGGAGGAUGACCUCCCGCCUCUGCAUCUGCAUCUGGGCGAUGCAUACGACCACUUUAUUAAUUAUUCUCAC
This is an RNA transcript of Triticum aestivum (bread wheat), 4654 nucleotides long. It is a transcript of the gene named formin-like protein 5, with no coding region annotated. NCBI's taxonomy places the organism in Eukaryota, Viridiplantae, Streptophyta, Magnoliopsida, Poales, Poaceae. The transcript is spliced from 5 exons. The record is from RefSeq and is a predicted model, not a curated record.